RNAcentral lists this ribosomal RNA (1392 nucleotides) under Rasamsonia columbiensis. RNAcentral describes it as "SSU rRNA". It matches the Rfam family "Eukaryotic small subunit ribosomal RNA", at positions 85 to 1105 of the family's 1831-position model. Lineage: Eukaryota; Fungi; Ascomycota; Eurotiomycetes; Eurotiales; Trichocomaceae. The record is from RNAcentral.
AACUGCGAAUGGCUCAUUAAAUCAGUUAUCGUUCAUUUGAUAGUACCUUACUACAUGGAUACCUGUGGUAAUUCUAGAGCUAAUACAUGCUGCAAACCCCGACUUCGGAAGGGGUGUAUUUAUUAGAUAAAAAACCAACGCCCUUCGGGGCUCCUUGGUGAUUCAUGAUAACUUAACGAAUCGCAUGGCCUUGCGCCGGCGAUGGUUCAUUCAAAUUUCUGCCCUAUCAACUUUCGAUGGUAGGAUAGUGGCCUACCAUGGUGGCAACGGGUAACGGGGAAUUAGGGUUCGAUUCCGGAGAGGGAGCCUGAGAAACGGCUACCACAUCCAAGGAAGGCAGCAGGCGCGCAAAUUACCCAAUCCCGAUCCGGGGAGGUAGUGACAAUAAAUACUGAUACAGGGCCCUUUUGGGUCUUGUAAUUGGAAUGAGUACAAUCUAAAUCCCUUAACGAGGAACAAUUGGAGGGCAAGUCUGGUGCCAGCAGCCGCGGUAAUUCCAGCUCCAAUAGCGUAUAUUAAAGUUGUUGCAGUUAAAAAGCUCGUAGUUGAACCUUGGGCCUGGCUGGCCGGUCCGCCUCACCGCGAGUACUGGUCCGGCUGGGCCUUUCCUUCUGGGGAACCCCAUGGCCUUCACUGGCCGUGGCGGGGAACCAGGACUUUUACUGUGAAAAAAUUAGAGUGUUCAAAGCAGGCCUUUGCUCGAAUACAUUAGCAUGGAAUAAUAGAAUAGGACGUGCGGUUCUAUUUUGUUGGUUUCUAGGACCGCCGUAAUGAUUAAUAGGGAUAGUCGGGGGCGUCAGUAUUCAGCUGUCAGAGGUGAAAUUCUUGGAUUUGCUGAAGACUAACUACUGCGAAAGCAUUCGCCAAGGAUGUUUUCAUUAAUCAGGGAACGAAAGUUAGGGGAUCGAAGACGAUUUAGGGACGCCUUCCCGGCGCCACCCCGGUGGGAACCAAGUGAAUUUGGGACCGCCGGGCUCCGACGCCGGGGAUGGUAUUUGGUCGUCAACAGUAAGCUGAAAAUGCCUUGCUAGUCUCCGCUGCGGCGGGGGCGACACCGUCAAAUUGCGGGGACCUCCUAAAGCCUGGACUACCAAGCCGACGCCGAAAGGCGCCGGUGGCCGGGGUAAUGACCUAGGGUAUGGUAACAACGUUCAGGAUGUGCCAAUGGACAAUCCGCAGCCAAGCGCUACCGCCCUUCCGGGGGCCACGCGUGCAGUUCACAGACUAGAUGUCGGUGGGGGAUCCGUCCCCUAAGAUAUAGUCGAGGCCCGGAGCGAAAGCCCGGGAGAUCUCCGCAGAUACCGUCGUAGUCUUAACCAUAAACUAUGCCGACUAGGGAUCGGACGGUGUUUCUAUGAUGACCCGUUCGGCACCUUACGAGAAAUCAAAGUU